UACGUAGGGUGCAAGCGUUAAUCGGAAUUACUGGGCGUAAAGCGUGCGCAGGCGGCUUUGCAAGACAGAUGUGAAAUCCCCGGGCUUAACCUGGGAACUGCAUUUGUGACUGCAUGGCUGGAGUGCGGCAGAGGGGGAUGGAAUUCCGCGUGUAGCAGUGAAAUGCGUAGAUAUGCGGAGGAACACCAGUGGCGAAGGCGAUCAUCUGGGGAUGUUCUGACGCUGAGGAGCGAAAGCUAGGGGAGCAAACGGG
Molecule: ribosomal RNA, 253 nt
Filed under: uncultured prokaryote
Description: partial 16S ribosomal RNA
Rfam family: Bacterial small subunit ribosomal RNA
Source: RNAcentral